This 740-nucleotide ribosomal RNA is filed under the name Lactiplantibacillus plantarum. RNAcentral describes it as "bacterial SSU rRNA". It matches the Rfam family "Bacterial small subunit ribosomal RNA", at positions 679 to 1421 of the family's 1533-position model. Lineage: Bacteria; Bacillati; Bacillota; Bacilli; Lactobacillales; Lactobacillaceae. The record is from RNAcentral.
CGGUGAAAUGCGUAGAUAUAUGGAAGUACACCAGUGGCGAAGGCGGGUGUCUGGUCUGUAACUGACGCUGAGGCUCGAAAGUAUGGGUAGCAAACAGGAUUAGAUACCCUGGUAGUCCAUACCGUAAACGAUGAAUGCUAAGUGUUGGAGGGUUUCCGCCCUUCAGUGCUGCAGCUAACGCAUUAUGCAUUCCAUCUGGGGAGUACGGCCUCAAGGCUGAAACUCAAAGGAAUUGACGGGGCCCGCACAAGCGGUGGAGCAUGUGGUUUAAUCCGAGCUACGCGAAGAUCCUUACCAGGUCUUGACAUACUAUGCAAAUCUAAGAGAUUAGUCGUUCCCUUCGGGGACAUGGAUACAGGUGGUGCAUGGUUGUCGUCAGCUCGUGCCGUGAGAUGUUGGCUUAUGUCCCGCAUCGAGCGCAACCCUUAUUAUCAGUUGCCAGCAUUAAGUUGGCCACUCUGGUGAGACUGCCGGUGACAAACCGGAGGAAGGUGGGGAUGACGUCAAAUCAUCAUGCCCCUUAUGACCUGGGCUACACACGUGCUACAAUGGAUGGUACAACGAGUUGCGAACUCGCGAGAGUAAGCUAAUCUCUUAAAGCCAUUCUCAGUUCGGAUUGUAGGCUGCAACUCGCCUACAUGAAGUCGGAAUCGCUAGUAAUCGCGGAUCAGCAUGCCGCGGUGAAUACGUCCCCGGGCCUUGUACACACCGCCCGUCACACCAUGAGAGUUUGUAACACC